UUUGAUUUCUCCCAAGUAACCGUGUGGGUGAACUGUAAACUGGGUGCCUGGCUUGACCCUGACUCUUUUUCUCUAGGAAGCCGUCUUUUUGGAUAAUGCGGUGCCUGACUGUCAGCGUUGUCUAAGAGGGAAACAGCAGGCUCGUGGAGAGGACCUGGGCCAACGCAAAAAACCCAGCGUUUUGUUUGCUGGGCUGUUCUUUGUCUCUAGUUGAUUUUGAAAAGAAGAUGAAAAAGGAAGGCUCUUCAGGUUCCUUCAGACUCCAGCCGAAUACAGGUUCUCUCUCACGUGCUGUGAGUUGGAUAAAUUUCUCCUCCUUGUCCAGGCAGACAAAGAGGCUGUUUCGCAGUGAUGGAGAGCUCUCGGUGUGUGGGCAGCAGGUGGAAGUGGAUGACGAAAACUGGAUAUACAGAGCCCAGCCCAGAAAAGGUGACUCGAUUUUUAAAAAAUUUAAACAUUUGAAAAAGUUUGUUAUGUAGAAUUCUUUGUUUCUAUCACUCCCCCUUCAUGAUUUUUGCCCCCAUUAGGAGUUUCUUUUGAAAUGUUUGUUUUUGUAUUGGAAUUCGGCGUCAUUUGUUGACAUGUCUAAAAUAAAAAUGCUCUUCCUCA
Molecule: small RNA, 609 nt
Filed under: Pan troglodytes (chimpanzee)
Lineage: Eukaryota; Metazoa; Chordata; Mammalia; Primates; Hominidae
Description: retained intron
Source: RNAcentral